UGAACGCGAAGAACCUUACCAGGUCUUGACAUCCUCUGACAACUCUAGAGAUAGAGCGUUCCCCUUCGGGGGACAGAGUGACAGGUGGCGCAUGGAUGUCGUCAGCUCGUGUCGUGAGAUGUUGGGUUAAGUCCCGCAACGAGCGCAACCCUUGAUCUUAGUUGCCAGCAUUUAGUUGGGCACUCUAAGGUGACUGCCGGUGACAAACCGGAGGAAGGUGGGGAUGACGUCAAAUCAUCAUGCCCCUUAUGACCUGGGCUACACACGUGCUACAAUGGAUGGUACAAAGGGCUGCAAGACCGCGAGGUCAAGCCAAUCCCAUAAAACCAUUCUCAGUUCGGAUUGUAGGCGGAAACUCGCCUACAUGCAAGCUGGAAUCGAUAGUAAUCGCGGAUCAGCAUGCCGCGGUGAAUACGUUCCCGGGUCUUGUACACACGCAA
RNAcentral lists this ribosomal RNA (440 nucleotides) under bacterium CPTAC17D. Its description in RNAcentral is "bacterial SSU rRNA". It matches the Rfam family "Bacterial small subunit ribosomal RNA", at positions 956 to 1387 of the family's 1533-position model. The record is from RNAcentral.